GACGAACGCUGGCGGCGUGCUUAACACAUGCAAGUCGAACGAUGAAACCUAGCUUGCUAGGUCGAUUAGUGGCGAACGGGUGAGUAACACGUGACUAACCUGCCCCUUUCUCUGGGAUAACGCUCCGCAAGGAGUGCUAAUACCGGAUACUCACAUCGAGGCACAUGCGUUGGUGUGGAAAGUUGUUCGGAAAGGGAUGGAGUCGCGGCCUAUCAGCUUGUUGGUGAGGUAACGGCUCACCAAGGCGACGACGGGUAGCCGGCCUGGGAGGGCGACCGGCCACACUGGGACUGAGACACGGCCCAGACUCCUACGGGAGGCAGCAGUGGGGAAUAUUGCACAAUGGGCGCAAGCCUGAUGCAGCGACGCCGCGUGAGGGAUGAAGGUCUUCGGAUUGUAAACCUCUUUCAGUAGGGACGAAGCGAAAGUGACGGUACCUAAAGAAGAAGCACCGGCUAACUACGUGCCAGCCGCCGCCGUAA
RNAcentral lists this ribosomal RNA (482 nucleotides) under uncultured bacterium. Its description in RNAcentral is "partial 16S ribosomal RNA". It matches the Rfam family "Bacterial small subunit ribosomal RNA", at positions 28 to 523 of the family's 1533-position model. The record is from RNAcentral.